This is a long non-coding RNA of Hyaena hyaena (striped hyena), 461 nucleotides long. RefSeq lists it as uncharacterized. The record is from RefSeq and is a predicted model, not a curated record. Lineage: Eukaryota; Metazoa; Chordata; Mammalia; Carnivora; Hyaenidae. The transcript is spliced from 3 exons.
CGGGGCCGGGCUGCAGCACUCAGUUUCUGAGCAAGCUGGAAAGCAAGCCUUGGCGAUGGAAGUGGGGGGAGGCAUCCAGCUUCCUGCUGACCAGAAGAAGCCAGAGGAACCACACUGGCAGUCAUGGGAUGUGUGUACCUCUGAACUCCCUAUUCUCUCCUCUGGGAGCAGAGAUGGGGCAAACUGACGACCUGCAUCCCCAGAAGACCAAUUCAGUGAGUCUAGAGGUUUCUACAUUCCUUCUGGGUCUCUUCCAUCACCUCCACAGGACUACCCUCCUCGAGUCUACAGUCUAGGAUAGUCCAGAUGGUCACAUUCUCCGAGCACGGCACUUCAUUUUGUAGAAUUUCUCAAAUGAGGAAAGAAAAGCUAUGCAUGUUUUCUUCAAGGUCCCAGCUUUUAUAUGGUUUGGUGGGUUCAUGGUUCUUAUUUCAAUGUUUCAUUAAAAAUAAACAAGUCAA